Molecule: long non-coding RNA, 2119 nt
Organism: Oreochromis aureus
Lineage: Eukaryota; Metazoa; Chordata; Actinopteri; Cichliformes; Cichlidae
Source: Ensembl
UAUAUAUAUAUAUGUGUAUAUAUAUAUAUAUGUAUAUAUAUAUAUGUAUAUGUAUCUGUAUAUAUGUAUAUAUGUAUAUCUAUAUAUAUGUAUAUAUAUCUAUAUAUGUAUAUAUAUCUAUAUAUAUGUAUAUAUAUAUAUGUAUAUAUGUGUGUAUACAAUAAAGGUGAAAUAAAAAGAGUGUUACAACCAAUGAAAUAUUUUUUUGGGUUUUUGGGUUUCACCUUUGUAGAGCAGGCUAUUCUAAUGCCCUGAGGUUUAAGUUAUGCUCCAAGUAAACAGAAGGUGGCCUGAAACCUUGAACAAAUCUAACUUUCUUAAAGAAAAGCUUCUGAUAAUUCAGAAGACUGGAAAAAAAAUCAAAUGCACAGUUUUCAUUCUAUUAACUAGGGAAAAACAAAAGGACAAACGGAACAACAUCGUCAUUUGUUAUGUAGCAGGUUUAUCAGAGAACGGGUUAGUCAGCAUCUCUUUCAUGAUGCCAAGUCAAAAGAUGACUUGAACGAGUGCUUGUGCCACACUCAAGUUUUGUUGUGAAAGCUAUAAUCCAGAUUAGUGGCCUGUUAAAUGGUUAAAGUCUAGGUUGGCUUUAUACUUGAGAAUAAAGUAAUAUAGGUUGUCCUUCUAAAGAAUUAAGUUAAAUUCCACAGUUGAAUCAUAAGAAACAUUAUGUUACAUAUAAACCCUGCCAUAUGUUAGAUCUGGUCAUUUUGCUUAUUAGAAACUUUAUAUAUUGGAAGUUAACUUUUAACAAGCAUGUAAUGAUUAUAUUUAAAUUAGGUGGUCUUUUUUUAAACAUAUCUCUUUAGGCCAAAACUGACAGUGCCAAUACCACACAUUCAGACACAGUAGUAGAUGGUGUUUUUAAUACUAUAUGUGUUAGUCUAAUUUGGUUGUAUGGGGUCUACAUUGACCUUCUGUGUUGUAAGUUAUAAUGAUUGCACAGCCAUUAAGGAUCAAAUCUAAAAGCUUCUAAAAAUAUUCUGUUUUUUCUCCCUCUGCUUGCUUCUUACUGUCUUUGAGGCUCGGGACCAGCACUCCUGUUGUUCAACUCAGUGACUUGAGAUAUGACUGCACUAUGCUGUUGCUGGUGACCACAGUUAAUUCUACAAGACAUGCUGUGACACCAGGAGAGAUGAGUCCUCCGUCACAGAUGGUGUGGUCAGUGAAGAUGGUCGCCUGCAGGUUCAAGUUCAUUGCAUCUCCAACCCACAUCCACUGCCACUGUACUUAAGGGAAGUUAAAGACUUUCUUCUGCACCUACAUUUGGAUCACCUCGAUCCAUGACAGUCAUUCAGGCAGUAAUGCCUGGACUGGAAACAAGCAUCCUUAAAAUAUUACAACAUUCCAGCUCAUGUGUUGGAAUGAAAAACAAAUGUGUUGUUUAAAUUAGAGACUGCACUUGUGACAGAACAAUAAAUAUUUUAUUCUGAUUAUAUAAGUAAUGUAAGUACAAAACAAACUUGUGGUAGGCCUAAACUUAUUUUCAGAAUAAUUACAUCUGAGACUUUGUUUCAUUGUAAGAUUAUAACAGUGAUGGCAAUAUAAUUGUUUGUUGUUCAGCAGAACAGUGUCCAGUAUGUUGGCUGUUAUACUUUGUUGCAUUUGAAAAUAAAAGUUGGGCUCAUUUUAACAUCAUUACAAAAAGUGUUGUUAAUUAUUUUUAAUCAUAUUCAGGUUACCACAAAUUGUUUUUUCAUUUAGUUGAACUUGAAAUGUUUGUCAGUAGGUAAACAAUUAGUAUUGUACAGUCAGAAAUAUCAAGUUAUUCUUAAUACUGCAGACUUGCAAUGAAUAAGUUGUCCUAACAGUCGUCUUAAGUAAGCUUUACUUAGUUUUUUUGAGGCAACGAGUUUACAUAUUUUUUUGAGUUCUGGAAACUAAAUAGGUUUUUACUCUGUACUCAAAGUGAAGAAGUUGCCUUAACUUAGUCAUCUUAAGUAAACUUUACUCAAUUGCUUUGAGGCAACGAGUUUGCAUAGUUUUUUUUUUUAGUUCUGGGAACUAAUUAGAUUUUACAGUCCAGAUAUGUCAUGGUACCUGGGUUGUUUACCCAGUGUUUUGAGUUUGGACUUUUUGUCAAAGAUCAAUGUUUUUGUGCAAUAACAAAUAAUAAAAA